Molecule: long non-coding RNA, 19119 nt
Organism: Protopterus annectens (West African lungfish)
Lineage: Eukaryota; Metazoa; Chordata; Ceratodontiformes; Protopteridae
Exons: 2
Source: RefSeq, a predicted model, not a curated record
AGUCUUCCCCUCAUUUAUGGCUUUGGUGACUGUUUUGAAGAAGACUGCCAAGUUUAGCAGGCAUGAUCUCCCUGUCAGCUUGUCAGUUAGUGAAAGGGCCUUGUGCUGGGGCCCUGCAUGUUAUCAGCUGGCUGUCAUAGCCACACUACAAUUUUGGGUUUCCUGACUUUAAAUUAUAUCAGGGGCAUAUACUUAUGUGCAUCACUGGUCCAGUUCAUUUUACUUUUGGUUACUGGGCUGUGUGAUUCCUUAGAUUUUCUAGUUUACAGAGUAGUUUUGGCAAAAAGAAAAUAAUAAGCACAGAAUUUUUUUUUAUUUUGAAUUUUAGAGAUUAUCUGAGUUGUAUUAACAAGUCCCAGAAGUAUAAAUAUACAUGUAACCAGGUAGUGCUUCAUUAACAAAAGUUAAUUCUUGGUGGUUUCAACUGAGAACAUUCAAUUCCAGCAUCCAAGUAUGUCUAUGCUGUUACUGUCACAGAAUGGUGUGUUUGUUUUCCCCAGUGUUUUUCAUUUUCUGUGAAUGUAAAACAAUUUCUCUUAUUUUGUCUAAAACCAACCCUUGUUUGCAGACAAAUGUCUUUGUCCAUUACUUUCCCAUCGGUACCAACUGCUGAUAAAAAAAAAUAAAAAAUGACACGCAUUGACAAGUUAGAUGUCUGACAUUGCCUCAUCCCAGUCAUAAUGUGUGACUCAAUCAUAAUGUGUGACUCAAGUUGUACCAACACUAUUCUGACCAUUGUCAAAUUUCAAAGAAAGACUCUUACUUACCACAUGUCUAAGUGAGUGGCAGAUUGUGUUAAUACCUCCAGUCUUCUUUUUUAGAGUGGUGACUUCUUGUCAUAUCCCUAAAGUAUUCCAAGUCUUGCCAUUCUGUCCAGUUUAGUCCAUAUUACUUCAAAAUCCUACAUUUGCCAUUGUUCAGAGGUCUGUACACUUGUAUAAAAUACAGUAAUAUACAGUUUAUGAAGUAGUUACACCAGUGGUUUGUGUAUGCUGUCAGAAGCAAGCAUAACCAAGAAGGUCCUGAGUGCUGAUUUGAAGACUUGUAUAUAAUUCAUUUUGCAUGAGCUCUUCCUUUAUUGAUAGUAUGUUAUGCCUGCCUAACCUGUGUUUUAGUUGCAUUUAGCAUUGUCGUAACUCCCCUCUAUCCCUACCUUCCAUAUCCCUCUGUCUCUGUUGUUCCCAUGUCUUCUGUGGAUUCUUACUCCUUCACCUGUUUCAUUAGUCAAGUCAGCAUUAAUGUAAACAUGUAGGGAUCCUUCAUACUGAAAUACUGCCUUCCUUGUUCCUGUGUGACUGGCUUAUAUUGCCAUUGAUAUCUUGUCGUUGCCAGAGAUCAUUUGUCAGUAGAGGCUCUCUUGUUUUCAAAUACGCUAUGCUUGAAGCUUUGUUGGUCCUAUUUAUGUCCAAAAUGCCUUUAAAUUCUUGGGUUCCUCUUGUGCUGCCUCUCACAGAAUAUAUGAUUUUCAGUAGUUCAGCUAUCAACAGUGCCUGUUUACAGUAUAGCAUAGCAUGGACCAGCAGCUUCUUAAGUCACUAGUGCCUUUUGGCAGUAGGUCCUCAUCAGUAAACCACAAAUAGAGCUCUUUAACAUCAUUAAAGCCAUUAGCAGGAAGUAUCAUGUAAUACAGGAAUAACCAGUUAAUCUUAGUACUAGUAUAAUCUUAAAAACUCAACAACUUUGUGCAGUGCAAAUAAAGCAGUUCCACGGUGUAGUUGGGUUAUUGGUGCUGUUUCCUGAGUGUGCAAAAUACAUGCCGUCUUGUCGUGUUUCAUCCAAAAUGUAGGCAUAUGUAGAUUUUCAUUCUUAGGUUCUUGAUAUUGGCUUUGGGCCUACACUAGUGGUUUUGCAUAUCUAAUACAUUCGUGUAGUAUCUGUGCAUAUCUGCAGUGAUUCAGCACAUCCUGAAUGAGAGAGAAACGGCUUCAUCAGAGACCGAGUGCUGAAAGUCUUUUGAGAGGCAUAUCUCCAAACAUUUUUUUCAGCAAAAUGUGCAACACGAAUUGAGCAAGCAAUGAAACUUAAAACUAAAAGCACUGAAUGCAGUGGAAUAAAGCACAGCAACAUUUAUACUGUUUGUAUAGCACAGACUAUCAUGACGGUUACUGAGGAUAGUUAUAAGUUUGUUUAAAAAUGCCAAAUAUCAGUCUAUGAAAUUACCUUUUUCCCCUGUAGUACGUAUUUUGUAGUUAAAAUGUGUUAAUACCUAAUGAUGCCAUAUUUGAGAGGUAUGGUCAUGGAACAGUCAGAUUUUAGCAUUAACCAGAAGCUCACAAAAUUUACAGUACAACAGUUUCUGGAAUGGUGCUGGAUGUUAGCGUGUAGCAUACUUGUGGGCACAUUUCUGUUCAGCAGUUGCAUAUGUUUAGUCACCCAGUUGUACAUUGGAAGGCAGAGCCAUAGCUCUGUCACUUGGUGCCCUCUUUGGCAGUCUUCAGACUGACACCUCCUCCUCAACCAAAAGUUCAGUACAAAUAAAAAAAAAUGUCUUCCAUAUUUAAAGACCAAAAGAAAAAAAAAAUAUUUUUGAAGAUGACUAAAAAAAAAUUUUGAACUUUAACAGGAGGUUUAUACGAGUUCCAUGCUACAGUUAAGCUGCUUUUGCUUAUAUCAACACUGGCACUUCCCUUGCAUUGGAUCAGCAGCUGUUUACAACUGCCAAUCAUGCCAUCUGACAGUUUGCACACAGGGCAGUUCCCCCAUUCACCCCACCCUAAUUACAAUCCUGUUUGUAUGACUAUUCUUGGUUGUGUUGUCUCAUGUAUGCAUCUCUUGCAAAUGUUCCUAUGACUCAGUUUCACACAAAGAUAUGCAGUUUACUGUGCGGUAUUAGGACAUUGUGGUAUUAAGUCAUUAUGUAUGACUCUUGGAGAGAACCAGAGUGGUACUCAAAUUGUACAUGCAUCUUCCAAAGUACUAAUUUUCACAUGGAAUCUCAUUUUUGGACCUCACAAAAUGAGUCUUCUGUGUUGUAUGGAGAGCACACCUGGUUGUUCUACUGACAUUUCUUAAGAUCAGACAACAAAUGCAUCUGCAUAUUAAUCCAUUUAAGAAGAGAAUCAUGCUUUAUUCUGUUCAGACCUCCAAAUUAACCUACGCCAUAGGUGGGAUUUGGUGAAGGACUGUUAAAGAAAAAUGCAGCAGUCCCCCUCCAACACACACACACACACACACACACAUACACAAUGUGAUUCUAAAUUGAAACCUGUAUUUGGAGGUUUAGCAUGCUGUCCUAUUGUGUAGCACUGUAGUGGACCAAUUCUAGUGUCAUACAGGUCCAAAAAUAUAUUGCUGACCGCUCAGUACCUUUGCUCCUUCUUCCAAGUUAUAUUCUUUGCCAUUCCCUGCUAUGUACACAUUAAGGCUGAACUUGUCUUGGCAGUGUGGCACCCCGUAUGAACUUUGUCACACUCUUUGCAUGUUAAUCUUGAUACUCUAGUUCUUGCCUGGCAGUCAGAAUUGCUAGUUCACUUAAUGGCAAGGCAGAGUUCUCAAGAGGUGAGCCUGUCAGAGAGCUGACAAUAGAGACUAGUGGCUUACUCUUUGUUUUUGGCCUACCUAUCUGCAUGUGCUGGUGUCUUGUGGCGGUUGAGCUAAGCAAUCAGCCGUGAUUUACUGGGAGUGGUCUUGCACCAACCAUGUCAUCCCUUGACCCUUACCCUUGGAAGGUAGAGAGCCAACUCUAACUGGUGCCUGAUCCAUUAGUUCAAAGUGGAUUGCCCGAGUCUUAGCUUUAUCCCUGUAUGCUAGCAAAGCUCGCAUCAUUUUCCCACCUUAAUCCAGGUUGUACUGAGCCCCCAAGUGUCCAGACAUGUAUGAUACAUCUGUCAUGGAUUGCAUUUUCUCUAUACCCAUUAAGCUGUCACUGUGGCCACCUCUUCAAUUUCAUUGUGGUAGAAUCUGUUAUACUAUAUGUAAAUAUCAAAAAUUUCAUUCAUGUAUUAUGCAUAGUAUUAGCUAUUGUCUUCCGAUGCCUGCUGGGAAGUCUUCAAGAAUCUCCAGUUUGGAGAAGGGGAAACAAGUUGCCCUUAGGUUUUCCAGUUGAUGGUGGUUAGUCCAUUUCUAGAGGUUUCCUCUGCUAUAUUUUGAAGCCCCAUUUGUUGGCCAUUGCAGCCUGCCAUGGAGCAAGUGUCAGUAGAGUGGUUUGAAAAGGUUCAGACUUUCUACCUGAGUAUUCCACCUUUAAAAUUCUCUUUCUGUUCCCCAUUUUUAUCUUGGGGACCCAAGUUAUAUUUUGAAGUGGUAAAAACUUCCCUGUUUUGAGAUGACCUUGUAUGGCUGCAAUGUCCUCAUCUCUUAUUUGACAGACUCACAUUUUGCAUUGUGUAUAGGUUUUCCUUAGUCCUUAUAGGAAUGGGAAUCUCAGUGUGCGCCAAGUUUUGUUUGAGUAAUAUGUAAGUCUAUCCUGUGAUAAAGUGUGCAUUUCUCUGUAGAUUAUUUGGACCUGAAUGUAAUUCUGAAAUAUCUUCUAACUGGGACUUCAGCAGUAAGUCAUUUUUAACGGGUCGCAUUGGAGGGAAAAAUGAACUUGGAGAGCAGGUGAAUUUAAUUCCUUAACAGAUUUGCUAAAAAAGGAGCUUUGAUGCUAUAAGGAAGUUAAACAGGUGAAAAGCUGUUUCCAUUUAGUGACUCAGAGAGAUCUGAAUACAGUAGAUAUGUAAUAUUUUCUUCUGUCAAAGGAAGAGUUUAUGGGUUGUGAAAUAUUGUAGCUAAGUGUGAUAAACAGACCUGGAAUGCAUUUUAGCCGAGUAGUUCUCAAAAUCAUUUUCCCUAAAAGUGUUAAAGCAUUAGGGACCUUCUCCAUCCUAGAGGUUUCUAAGAGACUCCAGAAUCACUCAUUUGUGACUGGUGCUCUACCCUAGUUAACAAAUUCAAACAAACUUUUGUCCAAAAAAAUCAUUUACAUAUUCUGGAAGUUUUUGCAGCACAAUUGUCUGAAGUGUCAUUAUCAAUAGAAAUAGUUGGCUCUUUUUUGAUUCUAAUCAGGCUGGUCAGGAUAUAAAAUUGCUGUGCUGAAUUUGUUCGGUUUGUCUGGAGUUCAUAACUGACAUGCUGUGACCCUGGAGAAAACAGAAAAAUAACAAAGAAAUUACUUCCACAAUAAAAAUGCAUCUUCAUGUGGAUCAUGGUCAACAGGUUUGCUUUCUUUCCUCUAGCCCAGUUGUUACUGGAUUUCUUUUUCCAAAAGUUCUUACUGGUGUUUUAUUUGACAUAUUUUUGUUCCAAUUCAGUACUGUCUCAUUGAGCCAGCUGCAUGAAAGAACUGUAAAGAAAGUGACCAUCCUGCCCUUUAUUUCACUUGCUAUGUGAUCGUGCAAAUGUGGUAUAAUAAGGUAAUGGUCCCUAAGCACUUGCAUAUAUAUUCUGUCUUUACUGGAUAUGCUGAAUCUAGACUUUUCACAUGACAGUUGAUCUUAACAGUGGGGAACGCUCUUCACUUGAUCUUUCUACUCCAAUUUGGCCUGUUUUUCUCAAAAGCUACCGUGGUCAGGGCUGUAAGUACCCCCUGCCAGUGUGUAUUAUGACAUCACUUGCCACAGAAGAGCAAUUCUGACCCCAGAGCCAGCUACUACUUUUCUUUGCUUGAACAGUUUAAACCUAAGUCUUGUUAUUCACAUUGCAGAAGUUCUGAUAUUCAAUAGCUAAAGCAGGUAAGCUGUUAAGGUUAUUCAUCUGGAUGUCAAAUGAGCUAGGAGUUGCGCUAGUAUUCUCACUAGUGCAUGGAAAUGGAACUUAUGUGAGGCACUUUCAUAUGUGUCUGCUUUGAAUCUGGCCACCUGGAAAUUCCAGAAGAAUCUGUUCUGUUUUGCUGCUGAAAGGAUUGUGAUGGUUAAGAGAGACCAGUCUGUGAAGGGAUAUGCAGUAGGGUCUUAAUCCAGCAGCCCCAGACCUAUGAAAGUAUGUUGUCUAAAGACAAAGGAAAUGGGGGGCAGCUAUUAUUCACACCCUCCUGAAGGAAUGUCCAUUGCCAAAAUGGUCUUACUGGCUUACAUUAUGAGGACUUCAUCCUCAGAUAUUAAGGACACAAGAUUGCACCUAUGUUCCACCUCUGCAAAAGACAAAAGGUCAUUGAGAGGUACAAUCUCAGCAACCACCUUGAGGGUGUAAUUCUUAGAUGUAAGCGCCUCCAAUCCCUGAUUCAAUGGGCAGAAUAUAGUCAUGGCCAUUCUGUUCCUGAGAUAUGUGGUUCCUAGUAUCCUGGAGUGGAUAAUGUGGUUGCACUUAAGAAGCAGGGCUCUUCUCCUUAAGCUUCCUGUAGGGUUUUUGUUGUAGGUCUCUGAUUUCAGGCCUUUGUGCGAGAUCUAAUGGGAUUGGUAUUCUUUGGUAUGGAAAAUUAGUAGGAUUGGUAGCCUGAUAUCAGCACUAAAUUAUGUGGAGUGCUGCCCUGUCCCAAUGUGAUCUGAGGCAAGCACAUCUCUGUACACUAGUCCUUUGAUGCCUGAAAGUCAUUGCACUUUUUUAAAGUCCACACAUAUUUGAUCCUAAAAAUGCCAGCUUGUCAUUAAGAAUGACAUUUAUGUAGCCUUUUAGGUAUACAGUCUUCUUGUCUCCUAACAAGGUAGAUUCCCUUUACAAGCCCUGUAUGAGUGAAUGGAAUCCUAUCCAGGUGACCAUGACAAGACUCAUGAUCCCUUUCAUCCAGCAUUGGCCAAUAAAGAUUGUGGAAUCUGGCUACCUUAUCACACUUGGGACUAUGGACUGUUUUCCUCAGGCCUCCCACAAGUUCCAUCAAGGUUCAGUGAUCAGUACUUUCUUGGCUAAUACCUGGUACCUACCCAUCACAUGUUCAUUCACACACUGUCCAUCUGCUUGAAAUGGUGGUAGCUCAGUUGGAUGUAAAUAGGUCCACAGCACCUGUCAAAAAGAGUGGGGAAAGUUCCCAGAUGUCCUGACCAGGUUUAUUGUAUUAGUAUAAAUACCACCUUGAGACUCCCCUGAAGAGAGGCCACUAGCCUAGUGGUAAGAAUCUAGUGAACAAAAAGAAUAAAUAAAUAAAUGUACUUGCACAUUAACCAUGCAGAAACGCACCCAUUCUGAAGGUAGAAGAGGCUUGGUGUCUGUCUUUUUUUUUUUUUGGACUACUGUGAUAAGUCAAGGGAUGUUGAAAUCUAAGACAGAUAAAUAUGUUCUUAACUCCUCUUGAUCCCUCCUGAAGUCCAGUGAUGGCAUUGUAGCUCUUAUUCAUCCUCCUUCCCAAAAUGUUUUAGGUACACAGAAAAGGGAAAGAGUCAUCGUCCUGGGUUUUCCCCAUGGAUUCCCUCAUUAAGGAUAUAAUUUAUGCCAAGAAACGCCCAGGUUCCCCUUCCAAAGUUCCAGAGAUGGUGGUUGCCCUAUUUUAGUCACUGGUAAGUAGCUGAGAGGCUGAGCAAGCAUCAUAGAGUGAACCUUUGCCGGGGGACUCCAAUCUGGAAGGGGCCUAGAGGCUGCAACAUUAUGCCGCCUUACCAUUUUUCAAGGAGUCUGAAGUAUCUGACAGGUUAUACAGGGUGAUGUCUUUCUUUGAUACAUUUGAGUAAAUUCCUUUAACUAUUUGUUCCAUCUGACCAGGUUUAAGUUCUCCCUGGUGGAUCAAGUACUAGAAAAUAUUUUAACCCUUAUUGAUUGUAGGUUCAAGGAACAGCUGAUCUUGGCUCCAUGUACAGUAUCCACAGUGUAGUAUCAUGUGGCUCAGUGUACAUUUUGACUGUGCUGGUGGUAUGAUUAGGUUAGCAGGUUCAUACAUGUGUCUGCACAGAGGCAGCAUGAUUGAUGCUGUUCUGACCAAAGGAGGAGCAUAGCCCUGUAUGGCGGGAGAUUUUCUUCAGGCAACCUUCGUAGAACAUGGUGGAAACAACUCCUUGUCCCCUAUUGAAGGUUUUUACAACCCUUGCUUAUUCCCCUACUUUUUGAGAUCCAGCUAAUUCCUGCAAGAAGAAGCCCCCUUGCAGUCUUAUCCUUCUCACCCCCCAGUGUCAUUUGAGUAUAGAGGGAAAAAGAUUUUAGCAUCCCAGCAGUCCUGAUUGGUCAUUUAGGGCUGCCAUUGGGAGGGCUGUUCCUUAAGCUUAUCUGUCUUGGAGAGCUGUUAUGAACCAUUUAGUUCUCAGGAUGGUUACAGAUGGCCACAUCUUAGAGCUUUUAGGUUCUCCCUUAGAAAAGGUCCUGCUUGGAGACCAGACAGUCUCCACAGAGCUGGGCACAUGCCCAAACUCCUAUUCCUCAAAGGGAGUAAAGGUUGUCCCUACUUUGAAACAAGGCCUAGGAUUCUUCUUCCACCUCUUAAUUCUGAAGAGAACAGAGGAAUUCUGUCCCAUCCUGGGCCUCAACAGCUUCAGUGACUACAUGUGGUAUAAGUUUCAGGUGAUAACUCCCAGAUGGUAAUAACUGUGCAGACAUAGAAAGUCUCUUUGGUGUUGCUGAAUAUAAUUGCCUUUUUAGCACAUCAUUGUUGGGGAUGUACACAGGAGUUUUCCCUUUUGUUUGCUGUGUGUUGAUACCCCUUUCAAUACAAACUGCUGCUGUUUGGUCUUUCUUUACCCACAGAGAUUACCAAGAUGUUAAUGAUGGUGGAGGAGGCCUUGCAGAAGAAGGAAUUACAUGUGUUCCUUUUUUUUUGGAUGACUGACUUCUGGUGGGCACAUUGAGAGAACUCCUAAUGGUAUUUCUGAAGUGGAUGCUUCCACUCCUGCAGUCGUGGUAGGAGUCCCAUCUGUUUCAUUGUAAGAGGAUUGCUUUCAUUUGUGUGGAGCUGGGCACUUUUCAGUGUCUGUCAUUCCUGCUAGCAGAGAGAGCACCUUUUUCUCAUGGCAUUGACAACCUGAUUAAAGGUGCAGUGGAGGUACCUAUUCAGAAGCUUCUGCAUCCUUUGGUUGAUGACCAUCAGAGUUUUCUGGUACUUUUCAUAUGCUUGAGGAGGUGGAUGUUGCAGUGGACUGUGAGACUUCAGUGACUUAAUCAAUAUACACUGUUGGAUCUUCUCUUGGUGACAAAACGUUGUAAAGCUCUGGAGUAGUAGACAAGACUCACCCAUCCAGAUGAUGGACAGUUGGCUAGCAGGGUGGAAAGCCCAUCACAGCUUAUUCAUAAUUCAGGGGAAGUGGUGGCCCUGAAGAAGGUGGCUACUUGCCAGAUUCACCAAGUCCCAGUUUGACUUUGCAGGGAAAGGUGCUUCUGGAGCCAUUCCUUGUUGGCCUUCAUAACCAGACUGUCAUGUGAUACCAAAACAAGCAAGGGUAGUUUUUGCCAAGUACUGAGGCAUUAAUGGUCUGGCAAUGGCCCACAGACAAGGGGACAUGCUGUCAAACUACCUGAGCUGCUUCUGUAGUCUUGUCCUAAAACUGAAGGGUUUGUAAGUUGUCCGGUUUUGAUUUUCCCAGAAGUACUGUUUGCCUUUCAGGAGAUUGCACUUUGCAUUCGCUUCCUCUUCUCUCCAGUGUAGCUGUUCAAGGGAAGGUUCCAUUCUAGAGCCAAACCUAUUUUUGUAUGUUGUGAUGUCAUUCCCAUAUUCCACACUAAUCACUAAAUUCAGUGGAAUGAAAAAAGGAAUAUCAAAAUGUAUCCUCACUUCCCUUUGGUGGCAGAGAACAGUGUGGAUUUAGGCUUUCAGUUAAUAUGAGUGACAAAGGUAUGGUUUCAAAUCCGUUAAGGUGCAUUUGUGUUGAGGAUGGGUUUGACAUAAUGUUUAAGGUCUUCACCUCAUAGAUGCAAGUUACAGUUUUGAUUCUGACCUCAGAUUAUUAGCUAGGCUUACAAUAUCAAUUUGGGGCAAUUAGUUUAGUAUUCACAUAGGAACCUAUAUAUUAUCACAGCUGGCCUGACAGUCUGCUGCACUUAAGGUGUGGAUCCUGUUUAUAUGUAAUAUAAUAUAAUAAAAAAAAACUUGGCUCCUGUUAUAGACCCUUUGAGUCAAAUAGACCUUAUGGUAGGGGUGUCAGAAGUUAUCAAAAUUUUCAGGAAGUCUUCCACCAAAUAUAGGUACCCUGGCAAGUGAAAGAAGUUUUCCAUUUUUCCAUUAGAGUAUUGUGUACUUCCCCAUUUGGUCAAUGUACAGGUGAAAGGAGUAUUUCACCUCUGCCCAGCUUUAACCUCUUUCUUGCUUACGACAUGAAUUGUAUAAUUAAUGGACUAUAAUGACCAUCCCUCAAUCCUGAUGUAUCGAUAUCAUUGAAGUUCAUUUCUUGGAAGACCCUUUCUUAAUGCCAUCACAUCUGCUUGCAAGCUUUCAAAGCUUUAGGCCCUUAUUUGUAGGUAACCAUAUCCUGUUUUUCACAGGUAUUAGAAGCCCCAUAGGUUUAACCCACAUGUGCCCGAAUAUAGUGUCAGAAUUGUCCUUAAAUUAAUCCAUUCUUUGUAGGGGCAAAAAAAACAGGAAAGAUCCCUUCACAGCAUGGAUGUACUCAUUUGGAUCAGGUUCUUCCUAAAAUGAGUGAAGGAACUCUGGAAAGGGUGACAGCUGUUUGUUACCUUUGAUUCAAGGGGAGAAGGUAUUUGUUUUGGUAUUUAAGAAACUCUCCAGGUAGUUGCUAACUUCAUUAUCUUCUGUCAUCAGCAAACCAUUAAUUGGAAAAUAAUGCUUUCAGUAGUCACUGUGCUAGAGACAAGACAUAGUUAUUUCCAUUGUUUGAUUCAGGAAUGUCCCCAUUCAUACUUCUGUGCAACAUGACAACCGGGCCACUUGGUUGUAUAUAUUAAGCAUUAUUACUUGAAACAUGGCAAUAGGAGUUGGCCUUUCUUAGUAUCUCUGCCCUUCAGGACUUUCCCUUCUGGGUUUUUUUGCUUGUUGGACAUCUGGUACUUGACUCCCUGUCUUCUUUAUACUACUUUGAGUUCUUCCGAAAUGUAGAUUCACUAAAGAAGAGUCCCAGAUGUCCAAUGAAACAGAUACUUUCUUGAUAUAUCAUUUGAUUUAUGAAAGGAUCUUUCUCACUGGAUCAUGGUUACCUUCCUGUCAUUGAUUUUUGUUUGAGCAGCACCUCUGUCCAAUGUGUGUUUAAAGUUUCCUUCAAGCUAGUUAGGUAUGUAUGUACUGUUAUAUCCUUUUAUAGUGUAGCUGUCAUUACUUCAUUGCUUUGUCUUAAUUUCUAGGAAAUACUUGAUCUGAUGUUGUCAGUCUUCAUUCAUUCUUGGCUGAUGGGUUCGGUUCCGAACUGACUCAGCCAUUAUAUAAAGCUCCUGCCAGCCAAAAACUCUCGAGCUAAGGCCCUACCCAUACUGUCUGUCUUACUGUUACCUCAGAUCUCAUUUGCCGUGUAGAAAAUUGGAUGCAUCAGAUGUUGUUCUCAGCUAAGUGCUCAAAAGUUUUUAUUUUUGCCUAUUAUUCUACCUUAUAUUGUAUAAUAAUAACUGUUUCCCUUUUGUUUGCUAGUGACUUUAUUGAUAUUUCCUUCAAUCGUAUUUACCUCAGGGUAUCUAUUAUUACCAUUGCUGGUAUUGGGCCUCUCCUUCUUGUUUACCAUUGGUAACUCUUUGAUACCAUCAUUGGUAUACUUUUCCUGCCAUUUUCUUCUCUUUUACCCACUCAUUUGGGUAUUUCUUAUGUACCAUAGUUGGUAUUAAAAAAGAAGCCUUUAUAUCUUUCCCCUUUUUCUUUGAGUAAGUGUAUGCAUGUGUGGGCAUGUCAUUGUAUUUGACUGGACAGCAUGGCAGAGAAGCAGAAAGGAACCUCUGGGUUUAAGCAAUGUAAAGAUUGUGGCAGAAAGAUGCCUAGUUCUGAUGGGCAUUUUUCUUGUAUUGUUUGGGUGUCCCUCAUCUAGAAAUUCAACCCCCUUGUGAACUCUGUUAGGGUUUCAGUGCUCGAACUCUUGCAGAGAGACGUAACAAACUGAUACUUAAAGGACUAUUAAAAUGUCCAUUUGGUGAAGCUCAUUCUGAGGCAGAGACGUCAAACUUUCCAAAAAACUGACACUAAAAAAUGGAGCCAUUUGGUACCGUCUUCACCCAAGGUACCUGACUCCAAGUCUCAAAUAUCUCAGGGUAUGACACCUUCUUUAGAACCGAAGGCUAAAGUUGCUGAGAUAUAAUUGGCUUCUGCUCUGGCACCAAAACCAACAAAAUCUGCUAUGGUGCCAUCUUCUAUUGAAAGUACCCAACCAUCCUCUGUACUGACCAUGUCUUCGGCGAUGACGACCUUCCAGGCACCAAUAAUUGUAACUUCUACUAUUUCGGUUCCAUCCUCACCCUCUAUCCAACAGAUUAUGGUGCCAAAGGUCGAUAUUUAAGUACCUCCAGGACUAGAUAUUCCCCUUCAGUAGACCCCUUCUUGGGUCAAAAGCUGAGUCACUUCGUAAAAAGACCUGAAUCUCCUUUGGGGAUGUCAAUCCGUUCCUCCAGGAGUUUAUCACAAAAGAAUAUAGUUAGAUUAGUGGAUCAGCUCUGGACACCCAGAGGCCUCCCUGCACCUUCUCAGAUCUCCCUCCCGGAGCCAAGGCUUACUGUCCCAGAACUCGUACAUAGUACAUAACACUCCACUGAAUAUACUCUGUCUUUUUAAUAUUUCUAGAUUUGUUACCAGUUAAUAGACUUAUGUCAUGCUGUUGCUUGCUAGUAGACUUGUGUUUUGUGUUGAUUAUAUCUUUGUAACUUUUGUAAUAAUUGUUAAUUUUCUGGAGAUUUUCUCCUCUGGUCUCCACUGAAAAUGGGCCCCCUGGCUCAGCUGGACUCACUCAGUUAACAAAUGUCAAUAAGUAAAUAAAUAAUAUAUUCCUUCUUCAACCUCUCCCCAGGUCUUGGAGCUCAUUGCUUCUACACUCCUGGUGCCAGCUGCUUCAGUACUGACUGUGGAUCUCCCCUCACUAUAAGAACUUACUCUGUGGUCUUCAGCUCCAUUGGAACCGUCGCACCCAUGCAACCGAACUCCAAUUUUUUUUCUAUGGCUCUUGGUUCUUUGGCAUUUUCAAGUCCUCUCCCAGCUCCUGCUCUGGAGGGCGGCAUGUUGGAGUGAGGUGCAACCCCAGUUCAGAGGUUGGCAUUUCUUGGUUCCAGGCUCCCAUCCCUCUUCGGGUGAGCCUGCCUUCCAGAUUAUGGAGAGAGCCCUAGCCUCAGCCGGCUGCCAGUUGGUACCAAUCCUUUCGGAUUGCCAUUUUUGUGUUUCCUCUGGUUUGCAGCUGCCACAAUCUGUUACAUUGGGACAGCGGGCGCAAGAGCAGCAAGAUUGGGUGGGAUUUGGCAUAAUGGUUAAGGAGUUUACCUUACAGACAUAAGGUGCAGGGUUUGAUUCUCACAUGGGGUAAUUGGCUAGGCUUUAAAUGGCCCACAAGGGUAGUUAGCCUAGUAAUAAUAUAUGAAUCUAUACCCUAGUGCAGGGUCGCCUCUCUUUGGAGUCCUUCUCGGAUCUUCCUCAUGAGGAGCCACCUCAUAAGAGAUUGUGCAAGAGGAAGCACUUGGAUUCCCCAGAAGUAUCAGUCACUGAAGAUACAGAUUACGAUGAAGGAUAAUGGUCACCCCCUGAAGAUUUCUUCUUUGGAGCCAUCCUGGAAAUAUUAAAACAGAGGGGUGAUUGGAAGUCCUCAAACCCAUCCUCAGAGGAAUCUGUUUUCUUGCAAGCUUUUUGUGCCUGGCUUCUACUUCUUGGGUGACCUCGCCUGCUGAUGAACUAAUCAAACUGAUUAUACAGCGGGCAUGAAAGGCUCCUGACACCAUAGAACCAAUUCCUUGGCGACCGGAUGAGAUUCUUUCAGUGCCUGAGGAUUACACCCAUUGGUCUAAAGGUCUAGCAGUGGAUGCCAUGGUGGUGGUGGUGACCACCAUAAAGGAACUCACCAAAGAGAGUUCAACUGUCCAUCCUCCUAAGAGUUGCUGACAAUGGACAGAUUUAGGAAGCGGGUCUUUGCUUCAUUGACAUGCAGUAUUUGGUCCUUGAACUUUUUGGCACACUUCACUAGACUCCAGGGGGACCUGAUAACUGAGCUUUCAGACACACUUACAGGAGCAGUGUCUAAUGAGGUUCAAGAUAAGGUUGCCUCUCAACUUGCCACCCUUGAGUCUAUCUCAAAUUCGUCCACAUGGCUUAUUGCUCAUACAGCCGAAGGGAAGUCUAGAGCAGUGGGUACAGGCGUUGCCAUUAAGCGUCACACCUAGAUGCGCUUGUGUGAUUUUACAGACCCCUUUAAGUCUUCCUUUGUCAAUGAUCCAGUUGCUGCUUCAUCAUUGUUUGGCCCAAAAGUUACAGACACGUUAGCCAGGUGUGAAAAGGACAGAAAGACCCUUUCUGCUGUGGGCAUGUGUUUUUCCACUCCACAAAGACCUUACUCUAGGAAUCAGAGGAGUGGAAAGAUGUGGUUCAAGAAGACCCAAGGGCCUUUUUGGAACACACAUGGGAGUAUUCUCCCCAGGGCAGAGGGGGGAACUCAUCUGGAAGAUGCCCUUCCCAUGGCAGAGGGGGUCCAUGCAACCAAGGGUUCCAGAGAUUUUCUUCUGGACAACCCUACUAGCCCUCCUGAGUGGUGGCCCAAUUGCUUACCUCUGGAAGCAGUCAGGGAAGAUUCUCUCUGCACCACUCAGCCUCUCUUGCAAUAACAUCGGAUUCCUGGGUGCAGACAAUAAUCACUAGAUGUUAUCGCAUUCCCUUCAGUCUUUUCCCCAAACUCCAAAGGUGAAUCCCUGAUGUUCUGCCCAGUCAGAGGGAUAUAGCAGCACUAGAAAUUCAAAAGCUGCUUCACAAAGAGUCACCCAAGCAGUACCACCAGACCAAAUAGAAUCCAGAUUCUACUCAAGAUUCUUUUUAGUGCCAUAAAAGAUAGGGGACUGGAUACCAAUCCUGGAUCUCAGUGUAAUGAACAAAUUUGUACAACAGACAAAAUUCCGAAUGGUCAUGGCUCAGCCUUUCUAGGGAAGGGUGAUUUGAUGUGCCCUGUAGAUCUUCAGGAUGCGUAUUACCACAUAAAGAUGGGCAAAUGCUCCAUCUCCAUUUUUGGCUAGGAGCCAGUCAUUAUCAACUUCAAGCACUGCCCUUUGGUUUCACCACAGCCCCCAGAGUGUUCACCAAAUGCAUGGCAGUUGUAGCAGCUCACUUAAAGCUACAGGGAUUCUACAUGUUUCCAUAUCUAGACAACUAUCUCCUCACUGUCCCUCUGAGUUCUAUGCUUGCCAAGUUCUUAGGCAUUUCAAUCAGCAACAACAAAAAAAUCACAGCUAUCUUCCACACAGGACCUGGAAAUACGAAAACCUGCGUGGCCUCCCUUCCUCAUCACAGGUUGUUAAAGUUGAGAUCGCAUCUUCAAGUGAUUCCUCUCAAGACAAAGUCCCUGCUCCUCUGGUACUAAAACUUCUCAGAUCCAUGGCAGCAAUAACGUUAGUCCCCCUAGUGAGUUAUCACAUGAGGCUGCUUCAAUGGCUCUUAACGUCAUAAUGGUCACUCUAACUCAUCCCAUGUCUCAUCCAGUCUUAAUAACGGCAAGAUGGAUUCAUCUUGAUGGAUGAAGCCAGAAGCAGAUUUAUGGAGUCCCUUCUCCCCCUCUCAUCCAAAGCCAUAGUGACUACAGACUACGGUCAUUUUCAGGGAAGCCACAGGAGGCCAAUCUGCACAUCAAUGUCCUAGAACUGAGGACAGUGCUUUUAGCAUUGUAAGCAUUCCAGUCUGCCCUUCCAUCUGGGACGGUUGCUAUCCAGUCAGACAACAUGUCAGUAGUCUGGUACAGCAACAACUAUGUCAGGACGCCCUAAGAGUUUGGCAAUGGGCAAUUGCCUCCAACCGCCUUCUAAUAGCAAUGCAAAUUCUGCGGACCUCCAACGUGAUUGCGGACAAACUAAGCAGGUGUAUCCUUCUACCUCAUGAGUGGUCUAUUAAUCCCAACAUAGUGACGAAAAUUUUUUGUCGAUGGGGUCAGCCUUGCUGCGAUUGCCUUUCCCAUAAACCACAUAUGCAGGAGCUGCUUUGCCCUAGUUCCCCCUUGUGGAGAGUCCCUGAGAGAUACACUUCUUGAUUGGCUCCCGGGACUGCUGUAUGCCUUUCCACCAAUUCCUCUAAUUCCCCAAUUUCUAAACAAAGCCCAACGGUUGAGAAGUGAAAUGAUUUUCAUUGCACCUUACUGGCCAAAUUGUCUGUUUUCCCUUUCUCUGGCCUUAUCUGGUUCACCACCCGUGGACUGUGGAUCCAACGCUAGACCUACUACCUCACCCUCAGGGCUUGGUGCAUCCCAGCCUCCAACAUCUCAAGCUGAUGGCUUGGUUUCUCCACUUCCACUGAUUGCCAGGCAGAACAGUUUGCCCCCCCCCCCCCAGUGCAAAAGAUACUUCUGGCUUCUCAUAAACCGUCCACCAGAAAAAUGUACCUUGACAAAUGGAAAAGAUUCUCUAUUUGGUCAGAUGCAAAUGGCUUUGAUCCUUUCUUGGCUCCAGUAGAUAAGGUCCUGGAAUACUUGGCUACUUUAUUUCAAUUGGGAGCCUCAACCUCUACCAUUAGAGUUCAUUUCGUUGCCAUCUUGAAUUUUCAUAAGGGUUUCAACAAUCACUCAUUAAUGUCCCAUCGUCUUUGCAAAUUUUUUCUUAAAGGUGCUCAACAUUUGAAGCCACCUUUCAAAGAUUCAGUAGUGCCUUGGGAUUUGUCCUAAGUCUUGCAAUCCCUAGUUCGUCAGCUUUUUGAGUCCGCAGCCACUUGUGACCAAGUUUUUAUCUUGGAAGACCCUCUUCCUAGUAGCCAUCACAUCUGCUAGAAGAAUUUCAGAGUUACAGGCUUUGUGCAUGAAUCAUACCUACAUCUUCUUCCACACAGAGAGAGAGAGCAUCACUCAGAACCAAUCCUUUCUUCCUUCCUAAAGUAGUAUCAGAGUCCAGUAUUAACCAGACUAUAGACUUACCAGUUUUCUUUCCAAAUUCUUCAAUCAAAGGAGAAUACUGCCUGCAUAUGUUGGAUGUACACAGGAAGUUACAUUUCUGCUUAGAUGGAACAAAAGCCUCUAGAAAAUCAGACCAACGUUUUCUAUCAUUUUCAGACACCAGAUUGGGAAAACUGGUUUCAAAGGUCACUUUGUCAAAAUGGUUAAGAGACUGCAUUACUUUUAUAUACAACCAGAAUAAACUCAAACUUCCAACAAAAGUUGGUGUUAAUUCUAUGAGAUCUGUUACCACUUAAGUGGUCUUCCAUUCCAGACCUAUGGAAGACUUAUGUGCAGCUGCAGCUUGGGCUACCCUCAUACCUUUAUCACUCAUUACAAAUUAGAUAUGAUCUCCAGGGGAAGAGCAUCCUUUGGCACUAGGAUGCUCAGGAGUAUCCUUCCUUAGGGCCACCCAGGAUCUAAAGUAGCUGAGGACUCUGUCCCAUCAGUCAAGAAUGAAUGAAUGGCAACAUCAGAUAAAGAAGUUAUGUUCUUAUUGCAACGUUCCAUCUGUGUUGUCAGUCUUCUUUCAUUUUUGACAUCCCACCCUCCUACAGACUCCUGGAGGUUCAGAACUAGUCCUGGGGUUUUGUAGGGUUGUUGCUCAGACAGAGCUUCCAUAUUUUCUUCGUGGUAGGCAAACUCCAUCGGAGGUAAUGGGAUGAGAGGCAGUAUGGGUAGAGCCUUAGCUCAGGAGUUAUUGGCUGGUGUGAGCUUUGUAUAAUGGCCGAGUCGGUUCCAAGGGUUCAGAACCGAACCCAUCACUCAAGAAUGAGUGAAGAUCAACAACACAGAUGGAACGUUAUGGUAAGAACAUAACUUCUUUUUCAGUGGGUAGGGGUGAACGCAAAGGCUAAAGUGGUAUGCAUAAUGUCCUGCUGAGGCUCAUAUUAGGGCACGCUGAAAUGGACAGUAUUCAUGCCCCCAAAUGAGGGAACAUCAGAGGGGAAAAAAGUAGCCGUCUUGAGAAAAAUGGUGGCUAUCAUACUUCUAGACCAGUUAAGGACAGUCCUGUAAUGUAUAUGUUAUUUACUCUGAUUUAUACACCUUUUAUUAUUUUUUUUUAUUCUGGCUCAAAUACACAAACUAGGACAGUUCCAGACAGUCAGGCAGUAACAUGUGCUUUGCCGUUAGCAGCACUGACAAAAAACAUAUGUACUCUUCUAAAGAGUUUGUGUUUGUUGUAGUAACUUGUUAUUCAGAAUUGAAUAGCUGUGAGUCAGAGCUGUACAUUUUGCAUUCUGAUUACUUAGUGACAUUCUCUCUAAAAACAUGUGGAUCAUUUCAGUUUAGUGCAUCAUAGAAGAAGAGCAGAAAGUCAUUUUUAAAGUAAGAGAGCAGUUAAUUAUCUCUCAGAUGUCUGAAUGAGUGUUUGGCAGACAUCUGAAUCAGUUCCAGUCUUAUAGCUUUAACAAAUCUGUUCAAGGGGCUGAAUUAUUCAGGUAAAAAGAAAAUAAGUCUUGAAAGGGUUGUAAGAAUUAUGUCAGGGCUGUGCUUGUGAAAUUAGAAACUAUGCCUUUAUUAAUAAGAUUCACAUUAAAAGUCAGACUUCAUUAAAAUUUCUCUGUAGAUGUGCAUGGAUAAAUGUAUGCAGCCUGAUGUGCAAAUCAGUUUCCUUAAAGACUAAAAUAUUUUUGUGAUCACCUGUGGUUAUUGUAGUACUUGUAUAUGAAAGUUAAAAGUAUUGGCUUUUGUUAUUUAUAGAGAAUGUAGACAAGUGUUCAUGUCAUACACUGGGAACAGUGUUUUUUAUAUAUUGUGUUUGUUCAUAAGUCUUAAGAGGUUUUAUUGUUUGUAUUAUUGCUUGUGCCUUAUUUCAGUUUUAUGUAAGCAUGAGUAAGUUAUUGAUCUAACUGCUUAAUGCACUUUUCUCAGUGCACUGUAUAAGCAUCUUGAAGGCCUGUUUGCAUAAUGAAGUUCUUUCAUUGCAGUUUUUACAUUUUUAGUUUAGUUUAAUUUUAGUCAAACGACUUCUGUUUUGUUUCCAUUGGGAUAACUUUAUCUAUUCCCUUCUUUUCCAGUUCUGACACCAAUCCCAUGGUGUGGUGUCAUUACUGGAAAAAAAUGUGGAGUAGUCUUUGCUCAAAGCAUAGAAUGUCAGUCUUUCUAAAAUCAGUUCCCUCUGUUACAUUGAUUUGGUUUACAGGGAACAGCAGCAUAAUUAUUGUUUUUUAGUACAUACACAUGGCAUUGUUGAGUAUUUUCUGGUUUUCUUUGAAUGUUUUAUAAGCAUAAUUUUAAAAAAUAAUAAAAGUGCAUGGCAACCACAUUGCCAGAAUUUUUACGUUUGCUGUAUUUUCAGUUUAAAUAAAACAUUAUAAUGAAUACUUAA